This 440-nucleotide ribosomal RNA is filed under the name uncultured bacterium. RNAcentral's name for it is "partial 16S ribosomal RNA". It matches the Rfam family "Bacterial small subunit ribosomal RNA", at positions 338 to 795 of the family's 1533-position model. The record is from RNAcentral.
CCUACGGGUGGCAGCAGUGGGGGAUAUUGCACAAUGGCGGGAACCCUGAUGCAGCGACGCCGCGUGGGUGACGGAGGGUUUCGGCGCGUAAAGCUCUAUCGGCAGGGAAGAAGAUGACGGUACCUGACCAAGAAGCCCCGGCUAACUACGUGGCAGCAGCCGCGGCAAUACGUAGGGGGCAAGCGUUAUCCGGAUUUACUGGGUGUAAAGGGGGCGCAGACGGGUAUGCAAGCCAGGAGUGAAAGCCCGGGGCCCAACCCCGGGACUGCUGUUGAAACUGGAUGGCUGGAGUACAGGAGGGGCAGGCGGAAUGCGUAGUGUAGCGGUGAAAUGCGUAGAUAUUAGGAGGAACACCGGUGGCGAAGGCGGCAUACUGGACUGGGACUGACGUUGAGGCCCGAAGGCGUGGGGAGCGAACAGGAUUAGAUACCCGAGUAGUC